RNAcentral lists this long non-coding RNA (251 nucleotides) under Vigna radiata. Its description in RNAcentral is "long non-coding RNA (VRAD_LNC016136)". Lineage: Eukaryota; Viridiplantae; Streptophyta; Magnoliopsida; Fabales; Fabaceae. The record is from RNAcentral.
UUUGAAAAAAAUGUUCAAUUGAGUCUUUUUUAUUCAUAGUGGUCCCAUAUUCAAGUUUAAAUUGUUUAUUAUAGUCCUUAUUGUAUACGAUGAUGACAUGAUUUUUAACAUAACAUUAUGUCAGGACUAUUAAAAUAACAUUUGGAUAGGUGAAUGCAUGAAAAAACUUAUUGACGUCGUAACCAGCACCGUUAGAAAAUUGACGUCGUAACAAAAAAGGAGUCAAUUGAACAGUUUUUUCAAAAAGUGGG